UACGGAGGGUGCGAGCGUUGUUCGGAAUCACUGGGCGUAAAGCGCGUGUAGGCGGCCUGCUAAGUCUGAUGUGAAAGCCCGAGGCUCACCCUCGGAAGUGCAUUGGAAACUGGCAGACUGGAGUCCCGGAGAGGAGGGUGGAAUUCCUGGUGUAGCGGUGAAAUGCGUAGAUAUCAGGAGGAACACCAGUGGCGAAGGCGGCAUCCUGGCCCUGUCCUGACGCUCAGGGGCGAAAGCGUGGGGAGCAAACCGG
Molecule: ribosomal RNA, 253 nt
Filed under: uncultured bacterium
Lineage: Bacteria
Description: partial 16S ribosomal RNA
Rfam family: Bacterial small subunit ribosomal RNA
Source: RNAcentral